CUCUCCCCAGCUUCAAGGACCGCGCCAUGCAGGCCGCCGGGCUCCGCGUCAUCAACGCCUUCCAGCGCCACUCCCCAACUUCAACGACCGCGCCACGCAGGCCGCCAUGCUCCGCGUCGUCAACGCCUUCCUUGCUCGGGUCGUCACGCUCCGCGGGCCGCUCCCCUCCCCGCACUCGUCAGUUAACGCCGAGAUCUGCCCCCCCGCCUCUCACGCCCGCGAGGCCCAUUUCAUUUAGUUCGCCAGCUCGAUCCGGGUUUUGUCCAGUGAUCGGGUUUGUCUAAUGCCGUCAUGCCUGGAUCUGGGUCGAUUCGGAGGAACGAAUUCGAGCCGUCGUGCCUUCAAAUCCCUCACUGAUUGGUUGGAUUUCUUUUGCUAAAUUGCGGUUUAAAUCCCUGAUGACCUACUACUGAUGCUCAUCCUUGACAGCCGAGGUCGGCGAGCGCGGGAUGUCCACACGGCGCGCCGCACGCAAUGGUGUUCCAUGGCCGCUUGCCGUAGCAAAUGGACAACUGAGUGGGACAUGCUUGAAGCAAGAUAUUUGAGGACUUCUAUUCAUGGCAGCAUCAACCAGGUGACAGCGAGGGUAGUGCUGCACGGCAGCAGAGCAGCGGUGGUGAGGGGAAUGCCUCAAUGCAUUGGUAAAUAGUGAGGCCUAAGAUGUUCAUAUUUUUUUGCCUCAAUGCAUGGAUAAAUUAUCGCCCGUAGCAUUGAUUUGGCAGAUGGAAAUCGUGUAUAUGUGCGUGGGAUUUUUUGAUAGAAUCUACCUAAUGAGGAAUUUUCAGGAAUAGAGAAUGUUGUGGUAAGACCCAUGACCUCUGAUUCGGAUAACGGAGAAGGACCCCUUUAGGCUGUUUAUUCUUUCCUAUAUUUGUUUGUGUUGACUAUAUAUGCAUAGGACUACAAUCCCAUAUGUAUCUGCUACUAAUUACACUUCUGUAUAGAUUUGAAUUUGGUUCAUUCAAUUCAAUCAAUUGACUAACCAAGAAGUUGCAAACAUGCUUAAAUUACUUCAGUCACUUCUGGUUUAAUAUAUUGGAGCCCUACGAUCAUGUAAAUUGGUUAACAAUUACCAUAUGGCUUUUAUGUUACUAC
This is a long non-coding RNA of Panicum virgatum (switchgrass), 1095 nucleotides long. RefSeq lists it as uncharacterized. Lineage: Eukaryota; Viridiplantae; Streptophyta; Magnoliopsida; Poales; Poaceae. The record is from RefSeq and is a predicted model, not a curated record. The transcript has 3 exons.